GUGAGGAAUUUUCCGCAAUGGGCGAAAGCCUGACGGAGCAAUGCCGCGUGAAGGAUGAAGGCCUAUGGGUUGUAAACUUCUUUUCUCAGAAAAGAAUUAUGACGGUAUCUGAGGAAUAAGCAUCGGCUAACUCUGUGCCAGCAGCCGCGGUAAGACAGAGGAUGCAAGCGUUAUCCGGAAUGAUUGGGCGUAAAGCGUCUGUAGGUUGUUUAAAAAGUAUUCUGUCAAAGAUUAGGGCUUAACCCUAGAUAGGCAGAAUAAACUUUUAAGCUAGAGUUUGGUAGAGGCAGAGGGAAUUCCCGGUGGAGCGGUGAAAUGCGUAGAUAUCGGGAGGAACACCAAAGGCGAAGGCACUCUGCUGGGCCAAUACUAACACUGAGAGACGAAAGCGAGGGGAGCAAAUGGGAUUAGAUACCCUGGUAGUCC
This 426-nucleotide ribosomal RNA is filed under the name uncultured bacterium. RNAcentral describes it as "bacterial SSU rRNA". It matches the Rfam family "Bacterial small subunit ribosomal RNA", at positions 354 to 796 of the family's 1533-position model. The record is from RNAcentral.